This 454-nucleotide ribosomal RNA is filed under the name uncultured bacterium. Its description in RNAcentral is "bacterial SSU rRNA". It matches the Rfam family "Bacterial small subunit ribosomal RNA", at positions 28 to 507 of the family's 1533-position model. The record is from RNAcentral.
GAUGAACGCUGGCGGCGUGCUUAACACAUGCAAGUCGAACGUGAGAAUAGCAAUAUUUGAAAGUGGCAAACGGGUGAGUAACACGUGGGAACCUGCCCUGGAGUGGGGGAUAACGACUGGAAACGGUCGCUAAUACCGCACAGUUCUACUCUAUCGGGAGUUGAGUAGAUAAAGAUUUAUCGCUCUGGGAGGGGCCCGCGGCCGAUUAGCUAGUUGGUGAGGUAAUGGCUCACCAAGGCAAUUAUCGGUAGCUGGUCUGAGAGGACGAUCAGCCACAUGGGAACUGAGACACGGUCCCAACUCCUACGGGGGGCAGCAGUGAGGAAUAUUGGGCAAUGGGCGAAAGCCUGACCCAGCAACGCCGCGUGGAGGAUGAAGGCUUUAGGGUCGUAAACUCCUUUGUGGGGGAAAAGUAAGGAUGGUACCCCAAGAAUAAGUCACGGCUAACUACGUG